Molecule: transfer RNA, 74 nt
Filed under: Sulfolobales archaeon
Lineage: Archaea; Thermoproteati; Thermoproteota; Thermoprotei; Sulfolobales
Also listed under: 1 other name
Description: tRNA-Ile
Rfam family: tRNA
About the family: Transfer RNA (tRNA) molecules are approximately 80 nucleotides in length. Their secondary structure includes four short double-helical elements and three loops (D, anti-codon, and T loops).
Source: RNAcentral
GGGCCCGUAGCUCAGCCAGGUAGAGCGCCCGGCUCAUAACCGGGCGGUCCGGGGUUCGAAUCCCCGCGGGCCCA